CCUACGGGCGGCAGCAGUGGGGAAUAUUGGACAAUGGGGGGAACCCUGAUCCAGCCAUGCCGCGUGUGUGAAGAAGGCCCUCGGGUUGUAAAGCACUUUCAGUGAGGAAGAACGCCUGGUGGUUAAUACCCAUCAGGAAAGACAUCACUCACAGAAGAAGCACCGGCUAACUCCGUGCCAGCAGCCGCGGUAAUACGGAGGGUGCGAGCGUUAAUCGGAAUUACUGGGCGUAAAGCGCGCGUAGGUGGCUUGAUAAGCCGGUUGUGAAAGCCCCGGGCUCAACCUGGGAACGGCAUCCGGAACUGUCAAGCUAGAGUGCAGGAGAGGAAGGUAGAAUUCCGGUGUAGCGGUGAAAUGCGUAGAGAUCGGGAGGAAUACCAGUGGCGAAGGCGGCCUUCUGGACUGACACUGACACUGAGGUGCGAAAGCGUGGGUAGCAAACAGGAUUAGAUACCCUUGUAGUC
This 464-nucleotide ribosomal RNA is filed under the name Vreelandella stevensii. Its description in RNAcentral is "partial 16S ribosomal RNA". It matches the Rfam family "Bacterial small subunit ribosomal RNA", at positions 338 to 795 of the family's 1533-position model. The record is from RNAcentral. Lineage: Bacteria; Pseudomonadati; Pseudomonadota; Gammaproteobacteria; Oceanospirillales; Halomonadaceae.